RNAcentral lists this ribosomal RNA (429 nucleotides) under uncultured Alcaligenaceae bacterium. RNAcentral's name for it is "bacterial SSU rRNA". It matches the Rfam family "Bacterial small subunit ribosomal RNA", at positions 355 to 776 of the family's 1533-position model. The record is from RNAcentral. Lineage: Bacteria; Pseudomonadati; Pseudomonadota; Betaproteobacteria; Burkholderiales; Alcaligenaceae.
UGGGGAAUUUUGGACAAUGGGGGAAACCCUGAUCCAGCCAUUCCGCGUGUGCGAUGAAGGCCUUCGGGUUGUAAAGCACUUUUGGCAGGAAAGAAAUCGCACGGGUUAAUAACCCGUGUGGAUGACGGUACCUGCAGAAUAAGCACCGGCUAACUACGUGCCAGCAGCCGCGGUAAUACGUAGGGUGCAAGCGUUAAUCGGAAUUACUGGGCGUAAAGCGUGCGCAGGCGGUUCGGAAAGAAGGAUGUGAAAUCCCAGGGCUUAACCUUGGAACUGCAUUCUUAACUACCGGGCUAGAGUAUGUCAGAGGGAGGUGGAAUUCCGCGUGUAGCAGUGAAAUGCGUAGAUAUGCGGAGGAACACCGAUGGCGAAGGCAGCCUCCUGGGAUAAUACUGACGCUCAUGCACGAAAGCGUGGGGAGCAAACAGG